CGCUUAACUCGUUUUCUAAGCUUAUUCUAGGGCUUUGAUUUCUCCGGCCAAUGGCGUUUUUUCCGUCUUCAUCAUCAUCACUGCCGGAGAUAUCACUGCCGUCUUCUCCGACUUCAGCAUCAUCCUUGGAGUUUCCUGUUUUACCAGUUGCCGCUUUGAAGAGCAAAAUCAUCCAGAAAAUUCAGGAAAAUCGAGUCACUCUAAUCAUCGGGGAAACUGGUUGCGGAAAAAGCUCGCAAGUCCCUCAGUUUCUACUGGAAGAAAACAUGGAACCCAUAGUUUGUACACAGCCAAGGAGAUUUGCGG
This 306-nucleotide unclassified non-coding RNA is filed under the name Hevea brasiliensis (rubber tree). The record is from RNAcentral. Lineage: Eukaryota; Viridiplantae; Streptophyta; Magnoliopsida; Malpighiales; Euphorbiaceae.